GGCUCAGAACGAACGCGGCGGGCGUGCUUAACACAUGCAAGUCGAACGCGAAAGGGACUUCGGUCCUGAGUAAAGUGGCGCACGGGUGAGUAACGCGUGGAUAAUCUACCCAAUGGUCUGGGAUAACAUUUCGAAAGGGGUGCUAAUACCGGAUAAGACCACGGAGUCUUUGGACUCUGCGGUAAAAGGUGGGGACCUUCGGGCCUACCGCAAUUGGAUGAGUCCGCGUACCAUUAGCUAGUUGGUAGGGUAAAGGCCUACCAAGGCGACGAUGGUUAGCUGGUCUGAGAGGAUGAUCAGCCACACUGGAACUGAGACACGGUCCAGACUCCUACGGGAGGCAGCAGUGGGGAAUUUUGCGCAAUGGGGGAAACCCUGACGCAGCAACGCCGCGUGAGUGAUGAAGGCCUUCGGGUCGUAAAGCUCUGUCAGAGGGGAAGAAAUGCGGGGUGCUAAUAUCACUUCCGCUUGACGGUACCCUCAAAGGAAGCACCGGCUAACUCCGUGCCAGCAGCCGCGGUAAUACGGAGGGUGCGAGCGUUGUUCGGAAUUAUUGGGCGUAAAGCGCGUGUAGGCGGUUUGUUAAGUCUGAUGUGAAAGCCCCGGGCUCAACCUGGGAAGUGCAUUGGAAACUGGCAGACUUGAAUACGGGAGAGGGUAGUGGAAUUCCUAGUGUAGGAGUGAAAUCCGUAGAUAUUAGGAGGAACACCGGUGGCGAAGGCGGCUGCCUGGACCGAUAUUGACGCUGAGACGCGAAAGCGUGGGGAGCAAACAGGAUUAGAUACCCUGGUAGUCCACGCCGUAAACGAUGAGUACUAGGUGUUGCGGGUAUUGACCCCUGCAGUGCCGCAGCUAACGCAUUAAGUACUCCGCCUGGGAAGUACGGCCGCAAGGCUAAAACUCAAAG
Molecule: ribosomal RNA, 907 nt
Filed under: uncultured bacterium
Lineage: Bacteria
Description: bacterial SSU rRNA
Rfam family: Bacterial small subunit ribosomal RNA
Source: RNAcentral